GACGAACGCUGGCGGCGUGCUUAACACAUGCAAGUCGAACGCUGAAGCUUGGUGCUUGCACUGGGUGGAUGAGUGGCGAACGGGUGAGUAAUACGUGAGUAACCUGCCCUUGACUCUGGGAUAAGCCUGGGAAACUGGGUCUAAUACUGGAUACGACAUGUCACCGCAUGGUGGUGUGUGGAAAGGGUUUUACUGGUUUUGGAUGGGCUCACGGCCUAUCAGCUUGUUGGUGGGGUAAUGGCUCACCAAGGCGACGACGGGUAGCCGGCCUGAGAGGGUGACCGGCCACACUGGGACUGAGACACGGCCCAGACUCCUACGGGAGGCAGCAGUGGGGAAUAUUGCACAAUGGGCGGAAGCCUGAUGCAGCGACGCCGCGUGAGUGAUGACGGCCUUCGGGUUGUAAACCUCUUUCAGCGCGGAAGCAGCGAAAGUGACGGUACGUGCAGAAGAAGCGCCGGCUAACUACGUG
Molecule: ribosomal RNA, 472 nt
Filed under: uncultured bacterium
Lineage: Bacteria
Description: partial 16S ribosomal RNA
Rfam family: Bacterial small subunit ribosomal RNA
Source: RNAcentral